GGCGCUUUGGCGGAGUGGUUAUCGCGUGGCACUAGAAUCUUGCAUUCUAGAGUACUUUCUACUCAACAAUAUAUGCCAUUCCCUCUGGGAGCAUAGGUUCAAAUCCUGUAGGCGUCG
RNAcentral lists this transfer RNA (117 nucleotides) under Ustilago trichophora. It matches the Rfam family "tRNA". Rfam says of the family: Transfer RNA (tRNA) molecules are approximately 80 nucleotides in length. The record is from Rfam by way of RNAcentral. Lineage: Eukaryota; Fungi; Basidiomycota; Ustilaginomycetes; Ustilaginales; Ustilaginaceae.